GAACUACGAGUUUGAUCCUGGCUCAGACGAACGCUGGCGGCAUGCCUAACACAUGCAAGUCGAACGAGACCUUCGGGUCUAGUGGCGCACGGGUGCGUAACGCGUGGGAACCUGCCUUUAGGUUCGGAAUAACUCAGAGAAAUUUGAGCUAAUACCGGAUAAUGUCUUCGGACCAAAGAUUUAUCGCCUUUAGAUGGGCCCGCGUUGGAUUAGCUAGUUGUGGGGUAAAGGCCUACCAAGGCGACGAUCCAUAGCUGGUCUGAGAGGAUGAUCAGCCACACUGGGACUGAGACACGGCCCAGACUCCUACGGGAGGCAGCAGUGGGGAAUAUUGGGACAAUGGGCGAAAGCCUGAUCCAGCAAUGCCGCGUGAGUGAUGAAGGCCUUAGGGUUGUAAAGCUCUUUUACCCGAGAUGAUAAUGACAGUAUCGGGAGAAUAAGCUCCGGCUAACUCCGUG
Molecule: ribosomal RNA, 458 nt
Filed under: uncultured bacterium
Lineage: Bacteria
Description: bacterial SSU rRNA
Rfam family: Bacterial small subunit ribosomal RNA
Source: RNAcentral